This 497-nucleotide ribosomal RNA is filed under the name uncultured bacterium. RNAcentral describes it as "partial 16S ribosomal RNA". It matches the Rfam family "Bacterial small subunit ribosomal RNA", at positions 28 to 507 of the family's 1533-position model. The record is from RNAcentral.
GAUGAACGCUGGCGGCGUGCCUAAUACAUGCAAGUCGAGCGAACAGACGAGGAGCUUGCUCCUUUGACGUUAGCGGCGGACGGGUGAGUAACACGUAGGUAACCUACCUAUAAGACUGGGAUAACUUCGGGAAACCGGAUCUAAUACCGGAUAAUAUUUCGAACCGCAUGGUUCGAUAGAGAAAGAUGGCUUUGCUAUCACUUAUAGAUGGACCUGCGCCGUAUUAGCUAGUUGGUAAGGUAACGGCUUACCAAGGCAACGAUACGUAGCCGACCUGAGAGGGUGAUCGGCCACACUGGAACUGAGACGCGGUCCAGACUCCUACGGGAGGCAGCAGUAGGGAAUCUUCCGCAAUGGGCGAAAGCCUGACGGAGCAACGCCGCGUGAGUGAUGAAGGUCUUCGGAUCGUAAAACUCUGUUAUUAGGGAAGAACAAACGUGUAAGUAACUGUGCACGUCUUGACGGUACCUAAUCAGAAAGCCACGGCUAACUACGUG